ACAUACGACCAUACCCACUGGAGAACUCGGGAUCCCGUCCGCUCUCCCAUAGAUAAGCCAGUGAGGGCUAGAGUAGUAGUCAGGUCGGUGACGACUGGCGAAUGCCUGGUGUUGUAUGUU
This is a non-coding RNA of Colletotrichum higginsianum, 120 nucleotides long. NCBI's taxonomy places the organism in Eukaryota, Fungi, Ascomycota, Sordariomycetes, Glomerellales, Glomerellaceae. The record is from Rfam.